GCGCCCGUAGCUCAAUUGGAUAGAGCGUUUGACUACGGAUCAAGAGGUUAGGGGGGGUUCAACUCCUCUCGGGCGCA
RNAcentral lists this transfer RNA (77 nucleotides) under Gracilibacillus boraciitolerans JCM 21714. It matches the Rfam family "tRNA". From Rfam's summary of the family: Transfer RNA (tRNA) molecules are approximately 80 nucleotides in length. Their secondary structure includes four short double-helical elements and three loops (D, anti-codon, and T loops). The record is from Rfam by way of RNAcentral. Lineage: Bacteria; Bacillati; Bacillota; Bacilli; Caryophanales; Bacillaceae.